Molecule: transfer RNA, 73 nt
Filed under: Asanoa ishikariensis
Lineage: Bacteria; Bacillati; Actinomycetota; Actinomycetes; Micromonosporales; Micromonosporaceae
Also listed under: 3 other names
Description: tRNA_Asn_GTT
Rfam family: tRNA
About the family: Transfer RNA (tRNA) molecules are approximately 80 nucleotides in length. Their secondary structure includes four short double-helical elements and three loops (D, anti-codon, and T loops).
Source: RNAcentral
UUCCCCGUAGCUCAAUCGGCGGAGCAGGCGACUGUUAAUCGCAAGGCUGCUGGUUCGAAUCCAGCCGGGGAAG